GGCAGGGGUGGCUUGAUGGUUAAUGCUUUGGUUUUCUGAUCAGAAGGUCAGGGGUUCAAGCCCCAAUCCUGCCA
Molecule: non-coding RNA, 74 nt
Organism: Ameiurus melas (black bullhead)
Lineage: Eukaryota; Metazoa; Chordata; Actinopteri; Siluriformes; Ictaluridae
Source: the annotation of a GenBank genome assembly